GUGGGUGAUCUGCCCUGCACUCUGGGAUAAGCCUGGGAAACUGGGUCUAAUACCGGAUAGGACCAUGCUUUAGUGUGUGUGGUGGAAAGUUUUUCGGUGUAGGAUGAGCCCGCGGCCUAUCAGCUUGUUGGUGGGGUAAUGGCCUACCAAGGCGGCGACGGGUAGCCGGACUGAGAGGUUGGUCGGCCACAUUGGGACUGAGAUACGGCCCAG
Molecule: ribosomal RNA, 213 nt
Filed under: uncultured Actinomycetales bacterium
Lineage: Bacteria; Bacillati; Actinomycetota; Actinomycetes; Actinomycetales
Description: partial 16S ribosomal RNA
Rfam family: Bacterial small subunit ribosomal RNA
Source: RNAcentral